CUGAGUUGUACAAAUUGUGAUUGAGG
RNAcentral lists this non-coding RNA (26 nucleotides) under Cricetulus griseus (Chinese hamster). The record is from RNAcentral. Lineage: Eukaryota; Metazoa; Chordata; Mammalia; Rodentia; Cricetidae.